CAAUAGCGUAUAUUAAAGUUGUUGCGGUAAAAAAGCUCGUAGUUGGAUUUCUGUUGAGAGCGACCGGUCCAUACCAUGUAUGCGUAUCUGGCUUGCUCUCGGCAUCCUCUCGAUAGACGUUACUGCGCUUGAUUGCGUGGUGCGGAUCUCGGGACUUUUACUUUGAGGAAAUUAGAGUGUUCACGGCAGGCUUUCACCAGAAUACAUUAGCAUGGAAUAAUACUAUAGGAUCUUGGUUCUAUUUUGUUGGUUUCUAGAAUUGAGAUAAUGAUUAAUAGGGACAAUUGGGGGCAUUCGUAUCAACACGUCGGAGGUGGAAUUCUUGGAUUGUGUUGCGACGAACUACUGCGAAAGCAUUUGCCAAGGAUGUUUUCAUUGA
RNAcentral lists this ribosomal RNA (379 nucleotides) under uncultured eukaryote. RNAcentral's name for it is "partial 18S ribosomal RNA". It matches the Rfam family "Eukaryotic small subunit ribosomal RNA", at positions 592 to 976 of the family's 1831-position model. The record is from RNAcentral.